UGUCUUCUAAAUAAAGACCCGUAUGAAUGGCUAAAUGAAUAUUUAACUGUCUCCUUUAACCAAUCAGUGAAACUGAUUUUCCAGUACAAAAGCUGGAAUAAACACAUAAGACGAGAAGACCCUGUGGAGCUUUAAAUUUUACCCAAAAUAUAUCUACCAACCUUACUUAUGUUAAUCAAUUUUAAGUUGGGGCGACUUCGGAGAAAAAUAAAACCUCCAAGCAUAAGUUAUACCUAAACAAGGCCAACUAGCCAAAACUAACAUUGACCCAGUACAACUGAUCAACGAACCAAGUUACCCCAGGGAUAACAGCGCCAUCUUCUUCAAGAGUUCAUAUCGACAAGAAGGUUUACGACCUCGAUGUUGGAUCAGGACACCCAAAUGGUGCAAGCGCUAUUAAAGGUUCGUUUGUUCAACGAUUAAUAGU
Molecule: ribosomal RNA, 427 nt
Filed under: Anolis barbouri
Lineage: Eukaryota; Metazoa; Chordata; Lepidosauria; Squamata; Anolidae
Description: partial 16S ribosomal RNA
Rfam family: Bacterial large subunit ribosomal RNA
Source: RNAcentral